Molecule: long non-coding RNA, 2720 nt
Organism: Cyprinus carpio carpio
Lineage: Eukaryota; Metazoa; Chordata; Actinopteri; Cypriniformes; Cyprinidae
Source: Ensembl
AAAAUCAUAUGAAUAUUUAAAGUUAAUAUGUAUCUCUUUUAUUUAGAUCGGAGGAAAAAGCCAUCUUUGAUGGCGUGUUCAUCGCAAAUGAUGAUGAUGUCGCAAGAUUCGUGGACUAUGUCCAUACCUCAACCAGUCAUGUAAACUUGCACAACUUCUCUAUAUUUACCUAUAAAAACACCACGUCCUACAGAGGACUUAGUUUGAACAAGUUUGGAAUGUUAAACAUCUUCCAUGUUUUAGGUCUCUGGAAGAGGUGUCUGUGGAGGGCAAUGGUCAGCGGCGCGUGAAACUUCUCAGAAGUCCUCAGGAAAAACAGACGAGGAGGGCCUGGAACUCGCUGUAUGUCGUCAUGGGGUUCUCCUUCGUGCCCUCACUAUGUUCAGGGGGAGAUUUUUUUGCCUACCCCCUGUACCUCCAAAAGCAAAUGGCCUGUAAGCCAGUUAAAUUUUUUGCAAUGGAUGUGGCAUGCAAGUACUGGCCUUACCUCCAGAGAGUGACAGAGAAAUGCCCUGAGCUUGAGGAUCUCCUCACCAUGAGGCCAUUUCUUUCUGUUUUUCAUGCCAAAGCUCAUGAUUUCAAAUGUGAGGUAAGAAAAAAUGAUUGUCCAUGAUAUUUUCUUUCCCUAAAAUCCUGCAUAAGAUUGUUGCCACUUAGGUUUUGUUUUUUUGUUUUCUUUUUUAAAGGUAAAAUGGAGUGGAGCAUAUCAGGAGGGGGCUGGUUCGACUCUUGGGGAAGAGGUGGAGCAGUGCAACGCCUUCCUCUCGAGGAUUGCUGUUACGACAAAGCACAUGUCAAAAGCAGGACGCAUAGACAUGCUGACGAUCAUGGCCAUGCGCUGGAACCAACAAAAAGUUUGACAACUUGGCUUCUACCCUUGCCCGCCGAUAUCGGAAGGCCACAAUAGCCCUGCAAUGCCAGUUGCAUAACCUGGAGGCCAUGAAAACGGAAAUGGACGUCUCAGACAAUCAACUGGAGAGGUGGAUCAUUGAUAUCAAUGAGUGGGCAGAAGCAACAACAUCCCCAAAUGAUGCUGAUGUUGCCGCUGUUGCCAGCCGAAUUGAGGAGCUGGUGGCAAGUGUUAAGAGGAGGUCCCAGCGUCUUUACAAGGAUAGUGACGGAUGCAAAGGACGUGCCCGAAUCCGCCGAAAGAUCAGGGAGGAAAAAAAAAUCUUAAAUUCUGUAGUGGAAAAGUACAACACCUUGGUUCCUAAUGCAGAAAAAAACUGUCAUUGGACACCAUUCUAUCUGACGAGAUUGUUUGGCCAUGGCAGCUUACACACGGUGGUAUGUACACAAUUCCAUUGUCACAUAGUGGGACAAAAAUCUGUCAUGCCUCGAUUUUACACCUGAAAAUCUCUAAAUACUAAUCUCAAAUACAACCGACUUAUGUUUCAUCUAUGUAUUCCAGACUCUGUUGAUCUAAGGACAAAGAGGAAGGCGUUCGACAUUGUGAUGGCAGUAAGGAGACUUGAGGAGGAGAAGAGGAUUCUUAUUGCAGAGAUGAACAAGCAUUGGAAGUCUCUUUGCUCCCGUGCAGACACCCUGAAGCAGAUGUCAUCCAAGCUUUCUAAUGUGACAUCAGGUAUGUAUUUGUUAUACUUGGCAUACAUUACAAUAUUUCUGAAUGUUUUUAAUUAAUAAAGGCUCAAUAUGUUUUAACAUGUAAGGUGAGACUUGGGGCCUGCUUCAAGAUGGUAUCCGAGGUCUACAAAGCUUGACGAUGAAGAACAAGCGAGCAAGCAACAGCCUGGCAAAGCAUGCAAAGAAAUAUUAUGUUCAAGUUCUGACUGAAACAGAAAUUAACUUUGAUAGUGAUUCUGAGGAAUACCAUACCAGUAGUGACUCUGAGCAAGAUUAAACAUGGCCAGAGUCCUUUUUAUGCUGUUGUGUGCUGGGGAGGCAGCAUUAAAGAAGAGGGCCGCUGGGACAGGUUGUUAAGGAAAGCUGGCUCUGUGUUUGGCAUGGAGCUGGAGUUAAUUAUUUAACAAACUGAGGAUAAUUUGCAGUAGCAGUCUUCUGUCAUGCUCAACAUUGAGGAGGUCCUUUGUCCCCAGGGCAUACCAGCAACUCAAUGUCACAGAAAAGGUUAGGGGAGAAAUUGACUUUUCAGCAUGAGUCUCACCCUGCGCCAACCAUUACAUCGCUUUGUCUAUUGUCUAGUAUCCACUAUCCAUUUGACUGUCUUACAGGCUACAUUAGCCCCUCUACACAUUCUGAACUGUGGUUUCAACAUUUACCCCUGUUGGCUUGUAUAAUCUUUUUUUUCUUUUUUUAUAUAUAUUUAAGUUUCUGUUUUUUUCUAUCUAUUUUAACUUCUUUGUAUUGUUUUUUUGUUAAGCAAUACUAUUAUGCUCAGACUCUUUUUUUUCCAUAGUCAUAUUAAACAUGCACAGCUUUGCACUGAUUAAAUCCCUGCACUGUUUACUUUUGCACUACCACCACUGCAAAUCACUCUAUAGUUGCCCAUCAUGUAUCACAGGGUCAGUCCCUACCAGGCCUUUGUAAUCACUUGACAUGCUCUUCACUUUUUUUACAUUUGUGAUUUUUUUGUUAUGUGUCUGAGUUGUGUGUUGUUUUUGUGGUUGUAUAAGCUAAUAAAUGCCUAAAAUGUGGUGUGUCGUCUUAAGUAGCCUACUGUGUCUGUACUAGGGGGAAGAAGACAUUUCAUCAUGACAGUUUCCUCCAUCUCCUAGAGACAUCUUACAUGGAUACACAGA